Molecule: non-coding RNA, 67 nt
Organism: Callithrix jacchus (white-tufted-ear marmoset)
Lineage: Eukaryota; Metazoa; Chordata; Mammalia; Primates; Cebidae
Source: Rfam
UAUCGGAGAAUAAUUUCUCUCUCUGAUCACCUAACUUCUACUGAUGAGGCUAGGAGGCUGCAGAAGC